GGGACACGUGGUAUCCUGUCUGAAUAUGGGGGGACCAUCCUCCAAGGCUAAAUACUCCUGACUGACCGAUAGUGAACCAGUACCGUGAGGGAAAGGCGAAAAGAACCCCGGCGAGGGGAGUGAAAAAGAACCUGAAACCGUGUACGUACAAGCAGUGGGAGCACCUUCGGGUGUGACUGCGUACCUUUUGUAUAAUGGGUCAGCGACUUAUAUUCUGUAGCAAGGUUAACCGUAUAGGGGAGCCGCAGGGAAACCGAGUCUUAACUGGGCGUUAAGUUGCAGGGUAUAGACCCGAAACCCGGUGAUCUAGCCAUGGGCAGGUUGAAGGUUGGGUAACACUAACUGGAGGACCGAACCGACUAAUGUUGAAAAAUUAGCGGAUGACUUGUGGCUGGGGGUGAAAGGCCAAUCAAACCGGGAGAUAGCUGGUUCUCCCCGAAAGCUAUUUAGGUAGCGCCUCGUGAACUCAUCUUCGGGGGUAGAGCACUGUUUCGGCUAGGGGGUCAUCCCGACUUACCAACCCGAUGCAAACUACGAAUACCGAAGAAUGUUAUCACGGGAGACACACGGCGGGUGCUAACGUCCGUCGUGAAGAGGGAAACAACCCAGACCGCCAGCUAAGGUCCCAAAGUCAUGGUUAAGUGGGAAACGAUGUGGGAAGGCACAGACAGCCAGGAUGUUGGCUUAGAAGCAGCCAUCAUUUAAAGAAAGCGUAAUAGCUCACUGGUCGAGUCGGCCUGCGCGGAAGAUGUAACGGGGCUAAACCAUGCACCGAAGCUGCGGCAGCGACACUAUGUGUUGUUGGGUAGGGGAGCGUUCUGUAAGCCUGCGAAGGUGUGCUGUGAGGCAUGCUGGAGGUAUCAGAAGUGCGAAUGCUGACAUAAGUAACGAUAAAGCGGGUGAAAAGCCCGCUCGCCGGAAGACCAAGGGUUCCUGUCCAACGUUAAUCGGGGCAGGGUGAGUCGACCCCUAAGGCGAGGCCGAAAGGCGUAGUCGAUGGGAAACAGGUUAAUAUUCCUGUACUUGGUGUUACUGCGAAGGGGGGACGGAGAAGGCUAUGUUAGCCGGGCGACGGUUGUCCCGGUUUAAGCAUGUAGGCUGG
This 1102-nucleotide ribosomal RNA is filed under the name Klebsiella pneumoniae. Its description in RNAcentral is "partial 23S ribosomal RNA". It matches the Rfam family "Bacterial large subunit ribosomal RNA", at positions 419 to 1528 of the family's 2925-position model. Lineage: Bacteria; Pseudomonadati; Pseudomonadota; Gammaproteobacteria; Enterobacterales; Enterobacteriaceae. The record is from RNAcentral.